Long non-coding RNA from Pteropus alecto (black flying fox), 407 nucleotides. RefSeq lists it as uncharacterized. The record is from RefSeq and is a predicted model, not a curated record. The transcript is spliced from 3 exons. NCBI's taxonomy places the organism in Eukaryota, Metazoa, Chordata, Mammalia, Chiroptera, Pteropodidae.
CUUCACCUUCCACCAAUCACAUUGCUCACAGAUUGGAGAUACAGCUGGCGCCUGGCGUCUUCCUUCGGAUUUAUUCACCUUAUGACUGGAAUUUCAUGCCCUCUGACCGACAUCUCUCCAUUUCCUCCGCCCGCUGGCCUUGAUGUUGAAUGGAACCGAUACACAUAGUCCAGAGAAGAGAAAGAAGAGUCGAAAGAAAAAAUACUUGUCUGUUAAUUUCUUCCUCAAUUACAAAUGUGGAGAAAGGUGUUUGAUCAUAAAUCCAGGAGCAAAACAGCACUAGCUGUUUACAGUGAACUGAAAUUCUCUCUACGAGAACUUGGGGUCAACUGCUGGUGCUACACAGGCACCCACCUCAGCCUUCCGGACACCAUGAUGGCCACACGGUCACACACAGCCUCGGCCUC